AAUGGAGAAGUAAUGGAAGGGAUGAGCUGAUCAAGCAUGCUUAGCUUAAAUGGCUUCAAUUCGUGGGUUGCGCCUGGAAAUGGUCUGAUCUGCUGGACUGAGGUCAACGACACUUCCAUCUCCCCCAACCCCCUCUGUGGAAACUGGUAACUAAGAGCGUAUAUGCUUAAUUUGCUUGCUCAAGACAAAUUGCAUUCAUAUAUACACCAUAAGCAUCCCAAGUUUGUUCUUUGGCAAGUGUGACAAUGGUAACGGACACUUGCUCAUAUUCUAUGGCUAUUUGCAUUCUGCAGAGAUCCAGACUUGUGGAUCGUGGUCUACAGUUGAGAAUUAUUUGCCAACUGCAAAUGGGGAUGGGAGUCUGGAGUCAACGAGGUGGAAGCAAUUAUCAAAUUAUUAUGAAAAAGGAGAUUUACACAGUGUUCAAAAGUCAACUGUUGCAAGUCGUCGUCGUCAAUAUCAAUAAACUUUCCGAAAUAAUUUAACAUAUAAUUAAUUUAUUAGGAGUUUCUAUGAUAUGUGCCAUAACGAUCUUAAUUCAACUCUUUGUUGGAAUUUUAGAUUUCGUAAUUAGUGAUUAGGUUAAUUAGUAUAUCAGUUAAGAAUUGAUUCAAUA
RNAcentral lists this long non-coding RNA (616 nucleotides) under Linum usitatissimum (flax). RNAcentral's name for it is "long non-coding RNA (LUSI_LNC007170)". The record is from RNAcentral. Lineage: Eukaryota; Viridiplantae; Streptophyta; Magnoliopsida; Malpighiales; Linaceae.